UUAGGAAUAUUGGACAAUGGGGGAAACCCUGAUCCAGCCAUGCCGCGUGAGUGAUGAAGGCCUUCGGGUUGUAAAGCUCUUUUACCUGCGAAGAUAAUGACUGUAGCAGGAGAAUAAGCCCCGGCAAACUUCGUGCCAGCAGCCGCGGUAAUACGAAGGGGGCUAGCGUUGUUCGGAUUUACUGGGCGUAAAGGGCGUGUAGGCGGUUUGGUAAGUUAGGCGUGAAAGCCCUGGGCUCAACCUAGGAAUUGCGCUUAAGACUGCCAAGCUAGAGUUCGGGAGAGGUGAGUGGAAUUCCCAGUGUAGAGGUGAAAUUCGUAGAUAUUGGGAAGAACACCAGUGGCGAAGGCGGCUCACUGGACCGAAACUGACGCUGAGGCGCGAAAGCGUGGGGAGCAAA
RNAcentral lists this ribosomal RNA (400 nucleotides) under uncultured bacterium. RNAcentral's name for it is "bacterial SSU rRNA". It matches the Rfam family "Bacterial small subunit ribosomal RNA", at positions 355 to 772 of the family's 1533-position model. The record is from RNAcentral.